CAUUUAUCCUUCUUCUUUUAACCAUCGACUGUGUCUCUUUAAACAUCCGAAGAAAACAUUCAGAUAAAACUAAAUCCCACCACCACCAUCUCCACUGCUACCACCACCAUCUCGAUCGCCGCCAUAACCAACAGCACCACAAGUGCCACAACCACCACCACCAUCUCCAUCGCCACCAUCACCAUUUUCUUCUUCACAAUCAACAACAAUCGGUUCCACUGGUAUCCAAACGCCACCAUCGUAGCCACAGAAUCAUCAAUAAACGCAAUCUGAAUAUAUAUAUUAGGUUUAACUUGAUUCAAUUUGAAGAAGAAUUUAUGAGAUUCAUAAUUUGAAGAAUUCAUCUUCGUAAACAAUUGAACAGGAUGGUCUCAACGACCUAUGCAUAUUUAGUUCCGUAAAAAUGAAUGUACAUAAAUCUUGACGUUAGUGGUGGUGGUGUUAGUGAUGGUGGUGGAGCGAGAAAGUAUCAUCAACAUCAGGCCCCUAGAUUCUACAAUUGCACUCAGCUUACCUUGUGGCAGUACAUCAUAGUAUCAUCAACAGGCAUAGCUUGUGGAUUAUCACUGAAAAGUUUAGGAGAGGAAAACACAUAAAUAAGGAAAAUAAUUUGGUGACAAGAAAUAUGCUAAAGCAACAGUUGGAAUGAUGAAUGCUAUACGGGCAAACUAUAAAUACAAGCAUAAUGGUGGCCUUACACAAGGUUUGAAGGAGAUCAUGGUGGAGACACUAAUGUACUUUCACUUUGAUCAUGAGGAUGCCAAACAUUAGUUGUUGACACCUAAUAUUGAUGGCGGCGGCGGCGGUGGCGGCAACAACAACAAUGGUGGUGG
This is a long non-coding RNA of Papaver somniferum (opium poppy), 833 nucleotides long. RefSeq lists it as uncharacterized. The transcript is spliced from 4 exons. Lineage: Eukaryota; Viridiplantae; Streptophyta; Magnoliopsida; Ranunculales; Papaveraceae. The record is from RefSeq and is a predicted model, not a curated record.